RNAcentral lists this ribosomal RNA (483 nucleotides) under uncultured bacterium. RNAcentral describes it as "partial 16S ribosomal RNA". It matches the Rfam family "Bacterial small subunit ribosomal RNA", at positions 28 to 507 of the family's 1533-position model. The record is from RNAcentral.
GACGAACGCUGGCGGCGUGCUUAACACAUGCAAGUCGAACGCUGAAGCUCAGCUUUUGUUGGGUGGAUGAGUGGCGAACGGGUGAGUAACACGUGAGUAACCUGCCUCCUUCUUUGUGAUAACGCCCGGAAACGGGUGCUAAUACUGGAUAUUCACUGGUCUUCGCAUGGGGGUUGGUGUAAAGGGCUUUUCUGGUGUGGGAUGGGCUCGCGGCCUAUCAGCUUGUUGGUGGGGUGAUGGCCUACCAAGGCUUUGACGGGUAGCCGGCCUGAGAGGGUGACCGGUCACAUUGGGACUGAGAUACGGCCCAGACUCGUACGGGAGGCAGCAGUGGGCAAUAUUGCCCAAUGGGCGCAAGCCUGAUGCAGCGACGCCGAGUGAGGGAUGGAGGCCUUAGGGUUGUGAACCUCUUUCGCUCAUGGUGAAGCAGCAACAAUGGUUGUGGUGAGGGUAGUGGGUAAAGAAGCGCCGGCUAACUACGUG